AACGAACGCUGGCGGCAGGCUUAACACAUGCAAGUCGAGCGGGCCCGCAAGGGUCAGCGGCGGACGGGUUAGUAACGCGUGGGAACGUGCCCUUUGCUCUGGAAUAGCCCUGGGAAACUGGGGGUAAUACCGGAUGUGCCCUGAGGGGGAAAGAUUUAUCGGCAAGGGAUCGGCCCGCGUCUGAUUAGGUAGUUGGUGUGGUAACGGCGCACCAAGCCGACGAUCGGUAGCUGGUUUGAGAGGAUGAUCAGCAACACUGGGACUGAGACACGGCCCAGACUCCUACGGGAGGCAGCAGUGGGGAAUCUUAGACAAUGGGCGCAAGCCUGAUCUAGCCAUGCCGCGUGGGUGAUGAAGGCCUUAGGUUCGUAAAGCCCUUUCGCCGGGGAAGAUAAUGACGGUACCCGGUAAAGAAACCCCGGCUAACUCCGUGCCAGCCGCCGCAGUAA
This 449-nucleotide ribosomal RNA is filed under the name uncultured bacterium. Its description in RNAcentral is "partial 16S ribosomal RNA". It matches the Rfam family "Bacterial small subunit ribosomal RNA", at positions 29 to 523 of the family's 1533-position model. The record is from RNAcentral.